Molecule: long non-coding RNA, 254 nt
Filed under: Chlamydomonas reinhardtii
Lineage: Eukaryota; Viridiplantae; Chlorophyta; Chlorophyceae; Chlamydomonadales; Chlamydomonadaceae
Description: long non-coding RNA (CREI_LNC001312)
Source: RNAcentral
CCUGGAGUACCAGUGCUGCGCGCACGGCCUGUCGGAGCCCACGCUGGUGAGCGAGGAGCCGGAGCAGUGCGGCUGCGAUGCCAACAUCCUGGCCACCCCCUAUCGCCUGGACUACGCCAGCGCCGCCUACACGCGCGCCGCCGACGCCACCACCCUCAACUUCACGCUCACUUACGACCAGCUGGACUGCGAGCCCAACUCUGCCUGCUGCGCCAGCGACCUGAAGAGCGUGUUCAUCGAAAUGGACACCACCG